AAAGGACUUCCUGGUUAGUAGCGUAGGAUACCGGUAGCUUUGUGUGCGUGUAGGUGAAACCGCUGGCUCAACAGUGCGGUUGGUGUUUGCUUUGGAAACUCUCAUGCAUUACGUCCAGUGGACCGCAACGCGAGAAACUUGUUGGUGUCAGGUAGGCUAUCAUGCUCAACAUACUAUUACGGCCUCUCUGCUUCGUCACAUAUCUAACGUUGUUGUCUGCUUUAGUUUGCUAUCAGCAGUAGAGUGGUGAGUGCGUUGUCUCCUCGUACCUGAAAGUGGAGCAUAGGAUCGCCAGCUUUGAGCUUUUGUGGUGCUUUACAGAUUGGCCUAUAUGCUGGCUAUACUCAUCGGCUGUUCCCACAUCCUAAGAGACUGCUGCUUUGUCUCCUUUUAGUGUUUGUCUUGUCAUUAUUACUUUAGUAAUGUCAUGUCCAAUUAUUAGGAUAUUUGUUUAGUCUGUGAUCUUUCUAGCCACUGGCUCUGGCUGGUGCUAGGACUUUUGUUCUGUUUGUUCCAAUGCAUGCUUGGGCUACGCAGUGCUGUG
Molecule: long non-coding RNA, 544 nt
Organism: Alosa sapidissima (American shad)
Lineage: Eukaryota; Metazoa; Chordata; Actinopteri; Clupeiformes; Clupeidae
Exons: 3
Source: RefSeq, a predicted model, not a curated record